RNAcentral lists this ribosomal RNA (458 nucleotides) under Salmonella sp. 3DZ2-4SM. Its description in RNAcentral is "bacterial SSU rRNA". It matches the Rfam family "Bacterial small subunit ribosomal RNA", at positions 1082 to 1533 of the family's 1533-position model. Lineage: Bacteria; Pseudomonadati; Pseudomonadota; Gammaproteobacteria; Enterobacterales; Enterobacteriaceae. The record is from RNAcentral.
AAGUCCCGCAACGAGCGCAACCCUUAAGCUUAGUUGCCAUCAUUAAGUUGGGCACUCUAGGUUGACUGCCGGUGACAAACCGGAGGAAGGUGGGGAUGACGUCAAAUCAUCAUGCCCCUUAUGAUUUGGGCUACACACGUGCUACAAUGGAUAAUACAAAGGGCAGCGAAUCCGCGAGGCCAAGCAAAUCCCAUAAAAUUAUUCUCAGUUCGGAUUGUAGUCUGCAACUCGACUACAUGAAGCUGGAAUCGCUAGUAAUCGUAGAUCAGCAUGCUACGGUGAAUACGUUCCCGGGUCUUGUACACACCGCCCGUCACACCACGAGAGUUUGUAACACCCGAAGCCGGUGGAGUAACCUUUUAGGAGCUAGCCGUCGAAGGUGGGACAAAUGAUUGGGGUGAAGUCGUAACAAGGUAGCCGUAUCGGAAGGUGCGGCUGGAUCACCUCCUUUCUAAGGA